Molecule: ribosomal RNA, 474 nt
Filed under: uncultured organism
Description: partial 16S ribosomal RNA
Rfam family: Bacterial small subunit ribosomal RNA
Source: RNAcentral
ACACUCCUGCGGGAGGCAGCAGUGGGGAAUUUUGGACAAUGGGGGCAACCCUGAUCCAGCAAUGCCGCGUGAGUGAAGAAGGCCUUCGGGUUGUAAAGCUCUUUUGUCAGGGAAGAAACGGUGGUGGCGAAUAACUACUACUAAUGACGGUACCUGAAGAAUAAGCACCGGCUAACUACGUGCCAGCAGCCGCGGUAAUACGUAGGGUGCAAGCGUUAAUCGGAAUUACUGGGCGUAAAGCGUGCGCAGGCGGUUGUGUAAGUCAGAUGUGAAAUCCCCGGGCUCAACCUGGGAAUUGCAUUUGAGACUGCACGGCUAGAGUGUGUCAGAGGGGGGUAGAAUUCCACGUGUAGCAGUGAAAUGCGUAGAUAUGUGGAGGAAUACCGAUGGCGAAGGCAGCCCCCUGGGAUAACACUGACGCUCAUGCACGAAAGCGUGGGGAGCAAACAGGAUUAGAAACCCCGGUAGUCCCAU